This 497-nucleotide ribosomal RNA is filed under the name uncultured bacterium. Its description in RNAcentral is "partial 16S ribosomal RNA". It matches the Rfam family "Bacterial small subunit ribosomal RNA", at positions 29 to 507 of the family's 1533-position model. The record is from RNAcentral.
AACGAACGCUGGCGGCGUGCCUAAUACAUGCAAGUUGAGCGCUGAAGGUUGGUACUUGUACCAACUGGAUGAGCAGCGAACGGGUGAGUAACGCGUGGGGAAUCUGCCUUUGAGCGGGGGACAACAUUUGGAAACGAAUGCUAAUACCGCAUAAAAACUUUAAACACAAGUUUUAAGUUUGAAAGAUGCAAUUGCAUCACUCAAAGAUGAUCCCGCGUUGUAUUAGCUAGUUGGUGAGGUAAAGGCUCACCAAGGCGAUGAUACAUAGCCGACCUGAGAGGGUGAUCGGCCACAUUGGGACUGAGACACGGCCCAAACUCCUGCGGGAGGCAGCAGUAGGGAAUCUUCGGCAAUGGACGAAAGUCUGACCGAGCAACGCCGCGUGAGUGAAGAAGGUUUUCGGAUCGGAAAACUCUGUUGGUAGAGAAGAACGUUGGUGAGAGUGGAAAGCUCAUCAAGUGACGGUAACUACCCAGAAAGGGACGGCUAACUACGUG